CCUACGGGAGGCAGCAGUGGGGGAUAUUGCACAAUGGGGGGAACCCUGAUGCAGCGACGCCGCGUGGGUGAAGAAGCGCCUCGGCGCGUAAAGCCCUGUCAGCAGGGAAGAAAAUGACGGUACCUGAAGAAGAAGCCCCGGCUAACUACGUGCCAGCAGCCGCGGUAAUACGUAGGGGGCAAGCGUUAUCCGGAUGUACUGGGUGGAAAGGGGGCGCAGACGGCGAUGCAAGCCAGGAGUGAAAGCCCGGGGCCCAACCCCGGGACUGCUCUUGGAAGUGCGUGGCUGGAGUGCAGGAGGGGCAGGCGGAAUUCCUGGUGUAGCGGUGAAAUGCGUAGAUAUCAGGAGGAACACCGGUGGCGAAGGCGGCCUGCUGGACUGCAACUGACGUUGAGGCCCGAAAGCGUGGGGAGCAAACAGGAUUAGAUACCCUGGUAGUC
RNAcentral lists this ribosomal RNA (440 nucleotides) under uncultured bacterium. RNAcentral's name for it is "partial 16S ribosomal RNA". It matches the Rfam family "Bacterial small subunit ribosomal RNA", at positions 338 to 795 of the family's 1533-position model. The record is from RNAcentral.